RNAcentral lists this unclassified non-coding RNA (338 nucleotides) under soil metagenome. RNAcentral describes it as "partial contains 5.8S ribosomal RNA, internal transcribed spacer 2, and large subunit ribosomal RNA". The stretch from base 1 to 120 matches the Rfam family "5.8S ribosomal RNA", at positions 35 to 154 of the family's 154-position model. The record is from RNAcentral.
GAUGAAGAACGUAGCAAAAUGCGAUAAGUAAUGUGAAUUGCAGAAUUCAGUGAAUCAUCGAAUCUUUGAACGCACAUUGCGCCCUUUGGUAUUCCUUAGGGCAUGCCUGUUCGAGCGUCAUUUGAAACCUCAAGCUCAGCUUGGUGUUGGGUGUCUGUCCCCGCCUCACCGCGGGGACUCGCCUCAAAAUCAUUGGCGGCCGGUACGUUGGCUUCGAGCGCAGCAGAAACGCGAACUCGAGGCCCGGCGGAUCGGCGACCAGAAGUCACUUCUUCACAGUUUGACCUCGGAUCAGGUAGGGAUACCCGCUGAACUUAAGCAUAUCAAUAAGCGGAGGA